GAUGAACGCUGGCGGCGUGCCUAAUACAUGCAAGUCGAGCGAACGGACGAGAAGCUUGCUUCUCUGAUGUUAGCGGCGGACGGGUGAGUAACACGUGGAUAACCUACCUAUAAGACUGGGAUAACUUCGGGAAACCGUAGCUAAAACCGGAUAAUAUUUUGAACCGCAUGGUUCAAAAGUGAAAGACGGUCUUGCUGUCACUUAUAGAUGGAUCCGCGCUGCAUUAGCUAGUUGGUAAGGUAACGGCUUACCAAGGCAACGAUGGAUAGCCGACGUGAGAGGGUGAUCGGCCACACGGGAACUGGGACACGGUCCAGACUCCUACGGGACGCAGCAGUAGGGAAUCUUCCGCAGUGGGCGAAAGUCUGACGGAGCAAGCCCGCGUGAGUGAUGAAGGUCUUCGGAUCGUAAAACUCGGUUAUUAGGGAAGAACAUAUGUGUAAGUAACUGUGCACAUCUUGACGGUACCUAAUCAGAAAGCCACGGCUAACUACGUG
Molecule: ribosomal RNA, 497 nt
Filed under: uncultured bacterium
Lineage: Bacteria
Description: partial 16S ribosomal RNA
Rfam family: Bacterial small subunit ribosomal RNA
Source: RNAcentral